RNAcentral lists this ribosomal RNA (1200 nucleotides) under uncultured bacterium. RNAcentral's name for it is "bacterial SSU rRNA". The stretch from base 1 to 713 matches the Rfam family "Bacterial small subunit ribosomal RNA". The record is from RNAcentral.
GGUGCGGAACACGUGUGCACUGCUUUAUCUGGGGGAUAGCCUCUCGAAAGGAAGAUUAAUACCCCAUAAUAUGUUGAAUGGCAUCAUUCGACAUUGAAAACUCCGGUGGAUAGAGAUGGGCACGCGCAAGAUUAGAUAGUUGGUGAGGUAACGGCUCACCAAGUCUACGAUCUUUAGGGGGCCUGAGAGGGUGAUCCCCCACACUGGUACUGAGACACGGACCAGACUCCUACGGGAGGCAGCAGUGAGGAAUAUUGGACAAUGGGUGAGAGCCUGAUCCAGCCAUCCCGCGUGAAGGACGACUACCCUAUGGGUUGUAAACUUCUUUUGUAUAGGGAUAAACCUACCCUCGUGAGGGUAGCUGAAGGUACUAUACGAAUAAGCACCGGCUAACUCCGUGCCAGCAGCCGCGGUAAUACGGAGGGUGCAAGCGUUAUCCGGAUUAUGGGUUAAAGGGUCCGUAGGCGGAUCUGUAAGGUCAGUGGUGAAAUCUCCAACAGUUUACUGUGAAACUGCAUUGAUACUGCAGGGUCCUCGAAGUGUGUGGAAGUAGUUGGGAAUUACGUAGUGUAACGGGUUGAAAUUGGCAUUAGAGAUUAUGGGGUAUAGCUUUGGGAAACUGAAGGUAAUCCCCCAUAACAUUGCGAGAGGGCAUCUGAUUGCAAUUAAAGUUUCGGCGGUAUAUGAUUGGUGUGCGUUUGAUUAGCUAGUUGGUAGGGUAACGGCCUACCAAGGCGACGAUCAAUAGCUGGCGUGAGAGCGCGACCAGCCACACUGGAACUGAGACACGGUCCAGACUCCUACGGGAGGCAGCAGUAGGGAACUAUUGGACAAUGGAGGAAACUCUGAUCCAGCCAUGCCGCGUGGUAGAUGAAGGCCUCUGGGUUGUAAAUAUCUUUCUAUCUGGCGAACGAAACAAUCUUAUCCUUUAAGAUCUNUGACGGGUACCAGGAGGGAAAUAAAGCAACCAGGCUAAACUCCGUGCCAAACAGGCCCGCGGUAAUUACCGNGAGGGGGGCUGCNAAAAGCCCGUCAAAAUCCCAGGGAAAUUCNAAACGGGGGAUCCAAAACAUGGGGGGNUGCCAGCAUCAACGGACAUCGGGGAACAUGAAACUACAAGCAUCCCAGUCCGAGUCGGAAAACAACGCCGCCCCACNAGACUUUANAAACCNCAGCGCGCAACACACNCGGGCCACGCAC